GUUAUGUCGUGUGUGUUUCUGAGUGCAAAUGUGUGUUUUUCCUUAUCCCUGCACUCGCUUGAGCAUGGUGUUUUGCUAUUGUGUGAGGGUUUGUGAACUAUUUUGACCAUUAAAAUAACAGCAUUUUUGUCAAGCGAGGUCAUUCUGUCCAGACGGUCGGCCCUGGCUUACUCUUAUGGUUGAAAAUGUCGAGUACUGAUAAAAUGAGUCGGCAAUUAAGUUGUAGUGUGUUAGCAGGUAUUAGUACAUUCUAUUAUAGUAGAAAUAACACCAACUGAAUGGUGCUUUUCAAGCCUUUUUAAGCCUUGAAACACUGUCCACUGAGCGUAAACCCAUACAAAGUUCAGUUUUGUAUGAUUUCAUAUUCUGUAAGUCCUCCAAGGUUCUAUUGUCUCCGAAAAUGAGACCGUUUUUCUUUUUCCAGAGUCACUCCAUUUAUUCAGUUGUUCACAUUGUUUGGUACCUAGAAAAGGGAAUAGCCGUCCUCUCUAUUUUCUCUGGAAUUUUCAUAACUGAUUUCAAACAGAAUUGUGUAGUGAAAGUGAGCCAAUCUAAACCCUGGUGGUUUCAUUAUUGUGUAGCCAUUACAUAACACAAUAAACAACCACUUCAUUGUUAAAAACUUCAAAGUUAACAGCUUCCUAUUUCCGAAUUUUUUUUUUUUUUUUUUGUGCCUGUCCCGUUUGGCUCUUUUGCCAUCAGAAUUGUUGUCUAAAGGCAAAGAAAGAUGCCCAACGGAUUUACUUUACCAAAUUGACCAUCCCAGCCUUGCCAUAAUGGUCCAUUUGAUUCACCUUUUAUUGUUUAUUUUAUUUUCACUUACUGAAUACGGGACAGACUUGACUGGGGGAAAGAAGGGGAGAAAGAAAGAGGGAAAGAGAAACAGCUGAGAAGAGGGACGGGGGAGAAGGGCAAAAAACAUAAACCAACAGAACGGGCAGAAAAAAAAAAGAAAAGAAAAAUGCAUAUAUCAAUCACCUGGAUCACCUGCUGAGAAAGAAAAAAGAAAACAAGCAGAAGAGAACAAGAGUAAUAGAAUAAACAACAUCACAAUGAUAUAUGGGAAUAUGACAGUAAAUACUAAAUAUUAAACAUUAUUGUGCAGCACAUAAGAUCAACAGAACACAGAGUGCUUUGAGGUAGGAGCCAAAAAGGGUGUAGUUUGUGGGUGUGAUCACCCGUGUGUACACCUGUGAGCAUGGACGCGCUUGUUUUUUUUUUUUUUAAAGGUUCCUUCAUGUAAUGAUCUGCUAGAGGGUGUGGGGGGGCCACAGCCCCGUAUGGAGGAGAUCAAAACUCCAGACAUCCAGAGGCCCCCAGAACACAAGAGACCAAGGAAGACCAACAGAGGGGCAGCCGCGCCACUGUCCCAGAAAGAGCUGAGGAGAGUCCCAGAUGAGGGUUCACUCAGCAGCCGUGGAGCAGAAGCCAGGGGGAGUUGCAGUGACGUGCCCGUGAGCUCCGCCGGCAGCCACCCGUGCCUGAGUGACCGAGCCCCUGGCCGAGAAGCCGGGGGCACCCCACCUCCGAAGUGGCCCGAGCGAGCCCCAGGCUCCAGGCCCCGAUAAGCGGCCGCCAAGGAGUGAGCCGGUGUGUACCUGGACGCCCAUCCCCGGACACAAAGAACCACCAACGCACCGAUGUCUGAGGGAGUCCGCCACUGGCAGGGAAGUGGUGGUAGGGGGAGAUAGGCCUCCAAACCUUGGAGGGCCUAAGAUGUCCCCAGAGAGGUGGCGCCUGACACCCAACCUGACAUAUAGACACAGACAUACAGGCACACACAGAUACAAACAUCCAUUCCCACCCGCAUGCUCUCAUAUGCACUUACUCCACACUCAACCAACGUGGAGACAGA
Molecule: long non-coding RNA, 1855 nt
Organism: Astatotilapia calliptera (eastern happy)
Lineage: Eukaryota; Metazoa; Chordata; Actinopteri; Cichliformes; Cichlidae
Source: Ensembl